This 484-nucleotide ribosomal RNA is filed under the name uncultured bacterium. RNAcentral's name for it is "partial 16S ribosomal RNA". It matches the Rfam family "Bacterial small subunit ribosomal RNA", at positions 28 to 507 of the family's 1533-position model. The record is from RNAcentral.
AUUGAACGCUGGCGGCAUGCUUUACACAUGCAAGUCGAACGGCAGCGCGGGCUUCGGCCUGGCGGCGAGUGGCGAACGGGUGAGUAAUGCAUCGGAACGUGCCCAGUAGUGGGGGAUAGCCCGGCGAAAGCCGGAUUAAUACCGCGUACGACCUGAGGGUGAAAGCGGGGGACCGAAAGGCCUCGCGCUAUUGGAGCGGCCGAUGUCGGAUUAGCUAGUUGGUGGGGUAAAGGCUUACCAAGGCGACGAUCCGUAGCUGGUCUGAGAGGACGACCAGCCACACUGGGACUGAGACACGGCCCAGACUCCUACGGGAGGCAGCAGUGGGGAAUUUUGGACAAUGGGGGCAACCCUAAUCCAGCCAUGCCGCGUGCGGGAAGAAGGCCUUCGGGUUGUAAACCGCUUUUGUUCGGGAAGAAAUCCUCUGGGCUAAUACCCCGGGGGGAUGACGGUACCGGAAGAAUAAGCACCGGCUAACUACGUG